RNAcentral lists this ribosomal RNA (301 nucleotides) under uncultured bacterium. RNAcentral describes it as "partial 16S ribosomal RNA". It matches the Rfam family "Bacterial small subunit ribosomal RNA", at positions 509 to 807 of the family's 1533-position model. The record is from RNAcentral.
CAGCCGCCACGGUAAUACGAAGGGUGCAAGCGUUACUCGGAAUUACUGGGCGUAAAGCGUGUGUAGGUGGUUGUUUAAGUCUGUCGUGAAAGCCCUGGGCUCAACCUGGGAAUUGCGAUGGAUACUGGGCGACUAGAGUGCGGUAGAGGAUAGUGGAAUUUCCGGUGUAGCAGUGAAAUGCGUAGAGAUCGGAAGGAACACCUGUGGCGAAGGCGACUAUCUGGGCCAGCACUGACACUGAGACACGAAAGCGUGGGGAGCAAACAGGAUUAGAUACCACAGUAGUCCCUGUCUCUUAUAC